UCGACCGCGUAUGAAGUACGUUUCUACCUCGGGUGGACAGGGAGGACAGGUGGUGGCAUGGUUGUCGUCAGCUCGUGUCGUGAGAUGUUGGGUUAAGUCCCGCAACGAGCGCAACCCCUACGUUUAGUUGCUAACAGGUGAAGCUGAGCACUCUAGACGAACUGCCGUUGACAAAACGGAGGAAGGUGGGGGAGUGACGUCAAAUCAUCAUGCCCCUUACUGUUCCGGGCGUACACACGUGCUACAAUGGCCGGUACAGACGGAGGCGAAGCCGCGAGGCGGAGCAAAUCCGAAAAAGCCGGUCUCAGUUCGGAUUGCAGGCUGCAAUUCGCCUGCAUGAAGUUGGAGUUGCUAGUAACCGCAGGUCAGCUAUACUGCGGUGAAUACGUUCCCGGGGAUU
RNAcentral lists this ribosomal RNA (400 nucleotides) under uncultured Pelotomaculum sp. RNAcentral's name for it is "bacterial SSU rRNA". It matches the Rfam family "Bacterial small subunit ribosomal RNA", at positions 993 to 1378 of the family's 1533-position model. The record is from RNAcentral. Lineage: Bacteria; Bacillati; Bacillota; Clostridia; Eubacteriales; Desulfotomaculaceae.